Non-coding RNA from Cyanistes caeruleus (blue tit), 7457 nucleotides. Lineage: Eukaryota; Metazoa; Chordata; Aves; Passeriformes; Paridae. The record is from RefSeq and is a predicted model, not a curated record.
CGGCCGCCAUCCCCCCAACCCCCACCAUUCCCGCGCCCCGCCGGCAUUCCCCGCACCGUCAGUGUCCCCGUGCUGUACCCGGACCUGCGGCGGGAGGUCAGGGUUGGCGAGGGCUGCUGCGCCCGGGGAGCGGGACCGCCUUGUGAGGGGGAAAAAUGAACCCUUGGCAGGUGUUUGCGUAGGAGACUUCGGUGUGAGCAGUGAACGCCUGGAAAAGGCGUGAGGGAUCGAUGGCAGGGGAUUCUGAGGGGAUACCUGAGGCAGCCGGUGCCGUGCUCUGCAGCCGCCCCGAUGCCGUGGUGCCGGCACUGCCAGGGUACACGUGGUGAAUAGUGCCCUGCAUUGUACGUGCUCGAGUGAUCACGAUGCAGCCUUUGGACCCCACGGAUGGGGUGGGGAAAAAAUCCAGUCCAUUUUCUCUGAUGCUACUGGACUGAGCACUUCUGCCAUAGGAUUUGCCAGUUAUUGUUGACAGUUCCCUGCCAGCCUCCUGUGGCCCCUUGGCUCUGCGGAUCGUGGGGCAGGCAGAAUGAAGGAAAGAGUGGUCAUCUCCUGUCACCCAUCCCUGUCCUAAUAACAGAUGUCCCCAAGUCAGCAGAAAACAGAGGAAGGAGAAAGCUUCUCAUGGAAACGGGCUUUUUUGUGGACAUUAUGACUGAAAUACUAAUGCUGGUGAGGAGCACCAUGGUCAGCACACAAGAUAGGAGACCAGCAGACCUUUCCCCAGGACAGGCGAGAGCAGAACCCCCUCACCCGAGGAGCCCCAGCUGCUGAGCUAUUACAAGGACUAAGCGGUGUAUUCGAGCAAGAUGGAUCCCGUCCCAAAGCUUUGCAUGUAAAAACACACACUUUGAAUUUCACAGGAGCCAAAGCUGCCUGCCAGGAACACUAGGAGGAACACACUCAGCCAGUGGGUGUUCUGUGCUCACACAGGGAAGCUCCCUUUUGAUCUCUGGGUUUAGUCUUAUGGACUGUUCUCUGCAGAAACCCAAACUCCAGGUGACAGAAGCACAGUAAGGCCCACCUCCAGGGGAAAAAAUAAAAGAACAAAAAGUAUCCACUUCCAAACAAAGCGGAAGCAGCUGCAGAAACAGGAAAGUCCCUAAGACAGAAACCAACACUAUUAUCAAGCAGCAGAGCCCUCCAGUGCAGACUGCUGAAAUAAACCUGAUCUCAGCCAUUUAGGUUGCAUUCACACUGAAGUCUGUAUUAGGCAUUGUUACAUGUAUCAUCCAAACACACCUGCCAAAUGUGGUGGAACAGAAAGAUCUAAACUUGUUUAGGAAUGGCAUUAUUAACAUCUCUUCCUUCUCUCAGCUAAAUGAAUCACCUGGUACUUUAUUAAAUAAAGUUUCUAUCAGCCUUUCCACCACCACCUAAUAAACACACUGAAGAUGACAGAGUAGGAAUCCAUGGUUCAUUUCCUGCUGCUCUCUCCAGAGAAAAGCCCACACAUCUGAGUAACUAUUUGCAGAUGAUGUCUGGAAAGAAAAAAGAAAAAUAUUUUGAGGGACUCUACUUUAAAGCCACUUUUACUAAGAUUGCGAAAGAGAAUUUAGGAUCAUUAUUUUCACCGUCCAAGUUUGAAAAUUUUCUCUUAAUGCUAGAGCUUCCUUUCUUACUGCUUCUACCUGUCUUGUUUCACAGCUUCAAAUUUCACACCUACACCCUUCUUUCCUCCCACUCUCUUUGUCUCUGUAAAAAACCCCUGUCAUCCAUGACUUUUUCAUAUGUCGUUCCUUUCACCCUCACCAAGUCCUGGGUCCUUUUUUUAUCUUCCCUCUCUUUCAGAAGUUUCUCUUUUCCAUUCAUUUCUAUCCUCCCUGACACAUCUCAUGGCAGUCACACUGGACUUUUGCUCUUUCCCUGUCCAUACUCCUCCCAGGCUACACCUUUUUCUCGACUGUUAGCAACAUUAAAUAUGACCCUUCUCACUUUCCCCUAUCAUUUUCUUUCUGUUUGCUCUCCAUCUUCAGCCUUGUUCUUUUGAUUUCAGCUCAAGGCAUUAUUUUAUUUUCACUGUCUUCCAUGUAAGUCUUUAUCAAUUCACAUGAGCCCUUAGCUGAAGAGUCCCAUUUCUCCCUUCUGUGUUCAUUCCUCUUUCAGUUCAGCCUAUACCAAGGCUUACAGCCUUGAACUAAUUUUCAUCAGCCAUAUUUUUGAAUCUCUGACACCGUGUUCCUCUCUUUUAAACAAUGAUCAUAUACCUUGCACCCACAUACUUGAGGUCAUCUUCUCCCUCAAACCUUGUCAGUCAAUCUUUUCACAAUUUUCAGAUGAUCAACACUUCUUGUUAUUUGUCUCCCUUCUCUUUUCCCCACAUUUCUUGUCUCCUUUCUCUUUUAUCCCAAGUAUUUGUGUUAAUUUUUUACCUCCUUCUCUUCACCCCUUUUCCCCACUGCAAGCUUUUUUUGUCCUUCUGUAUUUCUUCCUGUUUCCUAGUUAAGUAAUUCUCUAUUCUCCAGUUGGGGAACAUCUGUCAUCUUAAGUAGGAUUUUUAGCUACCCUGAAUCAUCCUCCCUUUUACUCUUCUCCUGCAUCUCCUUCACUCUCCACAUUGGUAUCUCACCAAUGUCUUCUACAUGAAGACAUCUGCUUUCCAUCAUUUCCCUUUCUGUAACUCCUUUCCUUCUUCCAUGUCUCAUCUUAAGAAUUUCUCUUUUCCAACUCCUCCAUUUGCCUCAGUUCUUCCAUCCUGAGCAAACUGUUGUUCACUCCUCCUUCAGUUCUCACGCUCCCACCAAAAACAUUCUUUUUCUGAUCCCCUUUUCUCACCAGCUACAAACUGCUCUGCUUCUCAUUCCCAUCUCCAAGCUCAUUAGAUUUACCUCUUCUCCAGUUUCAUUCCAGAACCUCUGCAAACUAGGUUUCUCCCCUUAGACAAAACAUAAUCUGCUUUUACCUUUGACUGUUACUGGUUUUGAACUGAAGUUGAAAAAUAAUAAUCCAUCACUGAAACCUUGUCCUUCUUAAGUUUGUAAGAUUUUACUUUGUUGUUGUUUUUCUCUCUGUGCAUCUAUCCAUUGCCACUUCAUGUUAUUUGGCAUUUUUUUUAAGACCCACCUCCAGCAUUUAUGACAAUAUGACCCUAUGAUGAUUUAGUUAUUAUUUUGAAUAUUCAUCUCUUCACUCAGAUCUGACUGUUUUUAUUCAAAGGAAAGCGUCAGAAAAUUUGGCUAAGAUUUGUUCUCCAGGGACAUGACCCCAAGAAUGAUAUGUUUAAAACAGCACUUUUAGUUGCAUCUCCUUUGCAGUCACCAUGACAAAUCAUAUCUAGCCUGCCAUUUAUCUGCACUUUCCACCUCCAUCUUUUUUUUCAUAGCCAAAUUAUGCUGAAAUCCUAACAAGACUUUUUUUUCUAACAUUUCUAGUAGAAGGCUUUUUGCAUUUAUAUGCAUACUUAAAACUCAUCCAAAUUUUCAUUAUACCACACAUUUAUUGCUGCAACAUCUGUUUUCUUACCCUUGCCAUGAACUACCUUAAUAAUUCAUCAUCACUAUGGGAGAUGGCAAGUUCUAAAUCUUCCUGUCCUAAAACCCUCUCUUUGUUCCCUCCUCUUUACAGCACCAGGACACACUGUCUUCAUUUUGAAGUCCAUUUGCAUUUUGUCCCCACUAUAUCAUCUCUCAAACUCUCACAUCCACCCUACCCAGGAUGGUAGAUAUUAUCUGCUUGUUAAAAAUUCAGGAAUGCACAUCCAUGUUAUCUCCUGUGUGCUCUUAUGUGUCCUUGCUGGGUUCCUCAUAAACACCAGGAAAGCCAGUUCAGUAUUUUCCUCAAAAACCUAUGUUUGAGGUUCACCUCUGCCAUGAUGCUACAGAUUUGGAUACAUCUAGCCAAAUGUCUAUCAUAUGUAUGAAACAGAAUGAUCCUCUUAUUUGGUGUUUGUAUGAAAACAUGAUCCAUUUAAAUAGGAAUUCUCUCCAAUAAUAAGACUCUUUUUAAGAAAAAUUGUGAUGAUAAUACAUGUUACAAUAAAUAAUAAUUGUAACAUUUCAACUGCCUUGAUACUGUUGCCCAACCCCUCUUUCUCUGCUAUAUUUAAAUUCAGAUUUUAGAACAUAAACUUUUGUAUGUCAGGCUACAAAAACACACACAUCUCUCCCCUUACUAAAAAUACAUUGAAAGAAAGUUAUAUUUUUGAUGUAAUUGGAGAUUACAUUUAGUGGUACAUCAACCUAGGUGCAGUAUUUCAUAUAUUACAUAAAGUUUUUGGAUUGUGUAUACAGACACUAAAUGUAGAAGCAGAGAUUCUCCAUGAGGCUUGGCUUAAUAAGACAAUUAACAAAUUUUAUGUUUUAAAGAAUUUUAUGUUUUCUUUUAUAUGGAAACAUUGUCUCUUAAAAAUUCAGUCAAAAGAGCCCCCAAAUGUGGGAGACUGCUGGUAUGGUUACAUUGUUUAAAUGCAACUAAGAGAGAAAGGAGCGAGCAGGAGAAAUCAAACAGCGAAGGAAAGUAUAGUAUAGUUAUUUAAAUAUAAUAAAAGGGACAUGCUUUGGGAAACUGUUUAUGUAAAGCUACAAAUGUUAUCAAAAUCGGACUGAUUUUAAGAAAAUAAUCAUUACAAAAAUAUGAGAGCUGUCCUACCUAAUCUGUCAUCAUUGCUAGGGACACCAUAGGGACACUCAUUCUGACAUCAUUACUAGCGAUACCAGAGUUCCAUGGGGAAAAAUAGGUGGAAAACGAAGCGAUGUGUAAGUCUGUGAUGAUAUAUGUCAGUAGCAUUGUUCUGUGAUGAAGGUGAGAACUGUAGCAUUGAAGGGUCUAAACAACCAGGAAUUGCCCUCAAGAGCUUUACACACAGACUACUGCAGCAGAAAGCCACCCUGCAAUCAUGCAAUCCCCGUCUUGUUCCAACCAAAUGCUGACACAGAACUAUGAAUUAUGCUCAAGGAUGAAAUAUGUCACGGUCAAAGCUGCCUGUGUGCACACUGAAUGUGCCUAUUACACACAGUAAGAGAUAUUAGGAUGAAUGAAAUCCAUUAACCACAACUGGUCAUUAUUAUUGAAAUAAAGAUGUACAGUUCUUGAGAUGUCAGAUUGCCUAAAUUACUACAGUCUGGUAAAAUAUUUUUUAACUUUAUUCUGUCUACUAUUUUCUUGUCAUAGAGAAAUAAUAAAAACACACUGAUUUUAGAUUUACAAAAGAACAGCCAGUGUUUUUAACUUUGCUAAAAAUCAAUUUACUUUGUUGGAAAAUACAAUGUAAAUGAUUGCUUGCAUACAUAGGUCAUUUUAUUCAGGUAUUAGCACUGUCAUAAGUACAAUAAGUUACAGUAAAAAGUGGACUGAGUUCAGAAUAUCUGAAAUUAAAUGCCAACAACUCAGUUAUUCAUCUUCGCUUCUGCAAGUCAAAACAGUCACAAUCUGAUCUGAAGGUUAUAAUUAGGCUGAGUCCUGCCUCUGUAAAAGCAGAAUGUGUAUCUCGCGAUCUACCCACGUAUGUUUAGGAAGCCAGCAGAAAGGGCAGUUUUAAUGCAUAGGGGAGAAUACAUCAAGUGGGUAAGCAGCACAGAAAAACUAUUUUUAAACUAAGAGGCAGAGAGAGUAGGUAAGCUCUAGAUAACUGGUACUUUUCAUAGCCUAAACAAGUAUUGUUAAAGAAGACAGUAAGACUAUUUCUUAAAGACCAAGUACUAUUUCUUCUGUUACUUUCCUGCUUGGAAGGACUUCAUCUGGCUUAGAAGUGCUGGGCAGAGCUGCUUCUAUUUCUGUCACAGGGAUGUGCAGAAAACCAUCAUCCCUUCUGGCACACACACCCCACCCAUACCAGGAAAAUCUUGUGGAGUGAUCCACUUGCCAUUUUGGUUGCAUCACCCACCAAAUAAAGAAAGAAUUGGUUUGUAGUCCUUGCAUAGAAAUGAUUGCGCAGGAAGGAAUAAAGCCAUGGAUUUUUGAUCGUGGGCCUAAUCUUCAAAAUGAAAUGAUCAGGAGCAAUACUUGCAAAUUACAAAUUUUAAAAUACACGUUUUAGGAAAAGUUUUGUAAAAGGAUGUCAGUGCAGACUCUGCCACUUGAGAAUUGUGACUAUUGCAUAUAUUAAAAGUGCAACACUGUAUAGGAAAUUCACCAUAAAAUUAUUUUGAAGGUAUUGAUUGCUCAACUGAGAGCUUGGUUCCCAGGAAAGCAACAACCAGUUUGUAGAGAACAAUAAAAAAACCAGCAUCACUCCCUGUUGUUACACUGUUUUCUCUUAAGACUUUAGGAAAGAAACAAUAUCUACUGACUAUUUAAUGUUUUUUCUUCCUUCUGUAUAUAAUAAAAUGUCAUUGCAAGAAAGAAAAAUCCAAUAUUCUGCUACUAUCCAUGUGCCAAUUUCUGCACUUUCCAGCUAAGAAAAACUCCCAUUGAUUUUUGCCCUUUUAAAGGCUCUUCUAAUGCCAUGAUAAUAUCUUGGCCCAUUUACAUACAUUCACACCUCACUAAACUAAUGCUCAUUACUCAAUGUCCUCUUGUCUCUCACUUCCACUUAUUCCUACAUCAAACUUAUUCCUACUUGGCUCUUAGUGUCACUGAGCAUACGGGAUGCAGUGGGAAGCAGGUCUCUCCUUCCAGGCUGUAUGACAUUGGCUGGCCACCAAACCAGGAGCUGCCUUUGCACCCGGCUGCUGUGGUGACUCACAGGUGCUCCAGAGAAGUAGAACACGUGUAGGACUUGGCCCUUCUCGCCAUUUCCAGCAGAACAGAUCAGACUGCUCUGAUAUGCACUGGAGGGCCAGCCUGACAUUGAGCCAGCAAAGGGAAGUCAAGACAAUCUGACUGCUGCCUUAAGGUGUUUGUCUCUGGCCUUGAUCACUCCACAAUCCCUUUAGGAGUUCUUGGAGAAAACACUUAGGUGUCUCUUGGCAAACUUGAGUGUUUCUCCUUUUUUUAACAGGAAUGAAACCUGCUGCUUAUUUAUAUUCAGUCAUAUAUGCUCGCUUCACCUCGUAAAACAUAUUUUUUCCUGUAUUUUGUUUUAGUGACUUUGUGGAAUGUAGUCUAGCUUGCAAAAAAAAAAUAAAUAAAAAUCUCUGUAAUAGAUGUGUCAGUAAAAAAGGGUUUGGCCUCCACAUCACAUUUGAUUUGAAGGGUUCGCAUUAGAAAAUUCCAUCUUUAAAACUGAGUUAAUUAGCCUUAGACUUUUGGAGACAGUAAACAAAGAUCUGUUGUAUUCUAACAUGUCUGUUAUAACCACAAGAUCAGGGCAAAAAAUACAAUGAAGAAUAUGGAAGUAACCUAGAAGACAAAUGAGCUAUGAUGUUUGAUUUCAGACAUGUAAAAUUAUGGACUGCUGUCUGUAGUCAAGCUCCUCAAGAUAAAAGUUUAUAAGAAAGUAUUUUAUCUUAUCUAUCAAAUAACAUAUUUCUCUCACACGCACCUUCUCAAAGUAGACAGAUCUCAGUAAAAGGAGUAACUACAUCAUGUUAGUGCAUGAAACUGGUUGCCUUGUGAGAAGCACUGUAAGAAAAAGAAAU